GUCUCCGGCUACACCACCCUGAACGAGCCCGAUCCCGUCUGGUCUCAGAAGCUAAGCAGGGUCAGGCCUGGUUAGUACUCAGGUGGGAGACCACCUAGGAAGAUCGGGUGCUAUAGGUG
RNAcentral lists this ribosomal RNA (119 nucleotides) under Pteropus alecto (black flying fox). Lineage: Eukaryota; Metazoa; Chordata; Mammalia; Chiroptera; Pteropodidae. The record is from RNAcentral.